This 253-nucleotide ribosomal RNA is filed under the name uncultured bacterium. RNAcentral's name for it is "partial 16S ribosomal RNA". It matches the Rfam family "Bacterial small subunit ribosomal RNA", at positions 524 to 776 of the family's 1533-position model. The record is from RNAcentral.
UACGGAGGGUGCGAGCGUUGUCCGGAAUCACUGGGCGUAAAGGGCGCGUAGGUGGCUUUUCAAGCGCGCGGUGAAAGCCCGGGGCUCAACCCCGGGUCGGCCGUGCGGACUGGGAGGCUCGAGCACUGUAGGGGCGGGUGGAAUUCCUGGUGUAGCGGUGAAAUGCGCAGAUAUCAGGAAGAACACCCGUGGCGAAGGCGGCUCUCUGGGACGGUACUGACGCUGAGACGCGAAAGCGUGGGGAGCGAACAGG